This 498-nucleotide unclassified non-coding RNA is filed under the name Hevea brasiliensis (rubber tree). Lineage: Eukaryota; Viridiplantae; Streptophyta; Magnoliopsida; Malpighiales; Euphorbiaceae. The record is from RNAcentral.
GCUAAUUUGAGGUUAAUUAAGUACUUUUAGCUUAAUUCAGCUUAUUUUUCACGCUUCCACUGUAAAGAGCAAGCGACAUUAAACUUGAGUUUUGAACCUUUUUUUCCCUAUUGUCUUCUCUGUUUUUCCUGUUGCCAAACAGAGAAUUUUGCUGUAUGUUGUAUUAUCUGCCAUUUGUAAGGGUCCUAUUCUCAUUUUUCUCUGUUUUGGAAAUUGUUCAAGCUGUCCUAGAUCUUGCUGGUACUUGUAAAUUGCACAGGCUUAUGUUGUUCUCUUUUUAGCAAACCGUUGGCACAAUGUAUUUUUUUUUGUUGGAAUUUGCUUAUUAAUUGUAAACAUUGGUGUGUGCAGGGUUUAAUUUUAUUUUUUAUUAGUCUUUUGAUCAUAUAUUGCCUUCUAUUUGAAUGUUUUCCUCAUUUUUUGGUGAGGUUCUGCUUUCUUGCUCCUUUUUUUCUUUUUUUGUCAGUGAGGAUUGGAUGGGCCAAAAGCUCUUCACUA